CCUUAGGGNAAAANCGCAUAGGGGAAAUUAUGACAUGACUUCAAGGCAAACCCAGAAACCCCGAGGGGGGAAGAAAGCUUGAAGGAUGAUAACCUCUUGUUAGAGGGGAUGAAUAAUCAGGGAAGAAUACAGAGACGAUACUACCGUAAGAAAAAUGCCCCGGAUAACUACCUACCAGCAGCCGAGGUAAUAGGAGGCGGCAAGAUCGUCAAGCAUUCAGGGUAAAAAAGGGCCAGCAGGCGUGUUAACAAGUCAGAGGAGAAAUCAUGCAGAUCAUCGGUAGAACGGCGUAAGAAACAUUUAAUGAGGAGUUCGGAAGAGGGAGGA
RNAcentral lists this ribosomal RNA (327 nucleotides) under uncultured bacterium. Its description in RNAcentral is "bacterial SSU rRNA". The record is from RNAcentral.